RNAcentral lists this ribosomal RNA (127 nucleotides) under Capra hircus (goat). The record is from RNAcentral. Lineage: Eukaryota; Metazoa; Chordata; Mammalia; Artiodactyla; Bovidae.
AUCUACAGCCACACCACCCUGAACAUGCCUGAUCUCGUCUGAUCUCAGAAGCUAAGCAGGGUCAGGCCUGGUUAGUACUUGGAUGGAAGCCCACAUCUUUUCUUCUUCUGGGAAGAGAGAUGAAAUC